Molecule: long non-coding RNA, 1074 nt
Organism: Vigna angularis (adzuki bean)
Lineage: Eukaryota; Viridiplantae; Streptophyta; Magnoliopsida; Fabales; Fabaceae
Exons: 2
Source: RefSeq, a predicted model, not a curated record
UUUUGGUUCCUCUUCCAUUCCCACCUUCUCUGCCCUGUACUCGUAAUCGUAUACCUUAUUCUCCAUUUCUCUCCUUUCCUUCCUCAUCCUGCUUGAACUUUCGCCAACUCCAUCUGUAUUCCACACAAAUCAAAUCCAACCAGGGAAAGAAGUUCCACGUGGGAGAUCACUUGUAUCGUCACCUUCCCUCCUUCUCUUUGGAACAGAGUUUCCACAAUAAGAUGAACAUGCAGAAGAUGGUGCGAUGGGACCAGAAUCCACGUUUGAUGUUAUGGUAAAACCAUCGCCACCACCACCUCCAAUUGCACUUUUAUCAAUGUUUUGAUGAAGAAGCGAGUGAUCGUGAUCAUGAUCAUGAUCAUGUUCCUCUCCGGUGACAACUUGAGUCAAAGCAUAGAUCAUGGCUGACAUCUCCCUCUCCCUAUCCAAUCCCGAAAACAUCAUCGGCAUUGACAACGAAUGAUAGUUUCUCGCUUUGCCCAGGUAACUCCGGUCACCCUCGUUACCCUGUUCUCUAUUAUUCGCCAUAUUUACACUUAAAACUUUACCUCUAUGCUUUUAACCCAACCCUUCGCAGCAACCAAAAUUUCGAACUGGUUGUGGUAGCAACCAAGACUCGUAAAACAAUGGAACAAAUGAAGAACUAACUUAUACACGAAUGUCUGAAGAAAAAAAAAGUAUCUAAGGAAUUGAAACAGAUGGAGGUUGAUGGGUUAAUUAUGGGUCAAAGGGUGAAGGUGUGAAACUGAAAACCCAGUUGCAUAUGUGUGGAGAGAACCAAGUUGACGGUGCUCCGACAAAAAAAGGUAACAGUAGUGACGGCCGACUUCAAAACACAAAAUCUUAAUUUAUUUAUCUUAUCCACGGAUUGAAAAGUUGUAUUUCUAUACGAUAUUAUUACUUACACCAUCAGAUCAAGUUUUCAAAUCCAACUUCUCUAUUGGAUAAAUACGUACACAAUGCCGUACGUUAAUCCAAAACCAAACUGGGGACCACCACCGUCCAUGGUUUAUUCCAGAAUAUGUAAUUUAUUUGCUUUAUAUUAAAUUAGAUUAUUUUAUUUCUAAUAGAAAA